CACGUAGGGGGCGAGCGUUGUCCGGAUUUAUUGGGCGUAAAGAGCUCGUAGGCGGCUCAGUAAGUCGGGUGUGAAAACUCCAGGCUCAACCUGGAGACGCCACCUGAUACUGCUGUGGCUAGAGUCCGGUAGGGGAGCAUGGAAUUCCUGGUGUAGCGGUGAAAUGCGCAGAUAUCAGGAGGAACACCAGUGGCGAAGGCGGUGCUCUGGGCCGGAGCUGACGCUGAGGAGCGAAAGCGUGGGGAGCGAACAGG
RNAcentral lists this ribosomal RNA (254 nucleotides) under uncultured bacterium. Its description in RNAcentral is "partial 16S ribosomal RNA". It matches the Rfam family "Bacterial small subunit ribosomal RNA", at positions 524 to 776 of the family's 1533-position model. The record is from RNAcentral.